Molecule: ribosomal RNA, 458 nt
Filed under: uncultured bacterium
Lineage: Bacteria
Description: bacterial SSU rRNA
Rfam family: Bacterial small subunit ribosomal RNA
Source: RNAcentral
GACGAACGCUGGCGGCGUGCUUAACACAUGCAAGUCGAGCGGUAAGGCCCUUUCGGGGGUACACGAGCGGCGAACGGGUGAGUAACACGUGGGUGACCUGCCCUCAGCUCUGGGAUAAGCCUGGGAAACUGGGUCUAAUACUGGAUAUGACUCCACGGUGCAUGUCGUGGGGUGGAAAGCCUUGUGCGGCUGAGGAUGGGCCCGCGGCCUAUCAGCUUGUUGGUGGGGUGANGGCCUACCAAGGCGACGACGGGUAGCCGGCCUGAGAGGGCGACCGGCCACACUGGGACUGAGACACGGCCCAGACUCCUACGGGAGGCAGCAGUGGGGAAUAUUGGACAAUGGGCNCAAGCCUGAUCCAGCGAUGCCGCGUGUGUGAAGAAGGCCUGCGGGUUGAAAGCACUUUCAGUAGGAAGAAAACCCGAGUGCUAAUAUCACUCGGUCUUGACGUUACUUAC